CCUACGGGAGGCAGCAGUGAGGAAUAUUGGUCAAUGGAGGAAACUCUGAACCAGCCAUGCCGCGUGAAGGAUGACGGCCCUAUGGGUUGUAAACUUCUUUUGAAUAGGAAGAAACUUAUCUACGUGUAGAUAACUGACGGUACUAUUAGAAUAAGGAUCGGCUAACUCCGUGCCAGCAGCCGCGGUAAUAUGGAGGAUCCAAGCGUUAUCCGGAAUCAUUGGGUUUAAAGGGUCCGUAGGUGGAUAAUUAAGUCAGAGGUGAAAUCUUGCAGCUCAACUGUAAAAUUGCCUUUGAUACUGGUUAUCUUGAGUUAUUAUGAAGUAGUUAGAAUAUGUAGUGUAGCGGUGAAAUGCAUAGAUAUUACAUAGAAUACCAAUUGCGAAGGCAGAUUACUAAUAAUCAACUGACACUGAUGGACGAAAGCGUGGGUAGCGAACAG
This 440-nucleotide ribosomal RNA is filed under the name uncultured bacterium. RNAcentral's name for it is "bacterial SSU rRNA". It matches the Rfam family "Bacterial small subunit ribosomal RNA", at positions 338 to 775 of the family's 1533-position model. The record is from RNAcentral.